GGAAUUAGAAUAUUGAAAGCUAGGAUUAGUAAGUUCAAUUUUUUGGCUAUGGUUUUGGUGUAAAUUUUUAGUCAUUUGGAGUUUUUAUGAAGGAAAUAUAGGCACUCGAAGUCAAGGUAUUGGUUUUGUACCUACUAUCAUUCUUUUGGAUAUAUUGGACACAAAUAAAAAGUAAUAGAGGAUCAACGACUAGGAUUGAAAAAAAUACUUUUU
Molecule: long non-coding RNA, 213 nt
Filed under: Physcomitrium patens
Lineage: Eukaryota; Viridiplantae; Streptophyta; Bryopsida; Funariales; Funariaceae
Description: long non-coding RNA (PPAT_LNC009328)
Source: RNAcentral